UCUCCGUUGGUGAACCAGCGGAGGGAUCAUUAAGGGACUCUCAUGACCCCUACAACACUGUGAACCUAACUAUAACCACGUCGCUUGCCCGGUUGUCCCUUCCAGGGUUCUCCCUCCCCGAGGCGUUAAACCCGCCGGCCGCCUUCUUUACCCUGUCACUUUGCGUUGGCAUCUCGAGUACAAUCAAACAAGUUAAAACUUUCAACAACGGAUCUCUUGGUUCUG
RNAcentral lists this unclassified non-coding RNA (225 nucleotides) under plant metagenome. Its description in RNAcentral is "partial contains small subunit ribosomal RNA, internal transcribed spacer 1, and 5.8S ribosomal RNA". The record is from RNAcentral.